AAUGAACGUUGGCGGCGUGGAUUAGGCAUGCAAGUCGGACGGGCCGCAAGGCCAGUGGCGCAAGGGUGAGUAAGGCGACGGUAACCAACCCCGCGGAUGGGCAUAGCCGAGGGAAACUUCGGGUAAUUCCCAGCGAUGUGAGGGCCCGGCAUCGGGCCCGCACCAAAGAUUCAUCGCCGCGGGACGGGCCGUCGUGGUAUUAGCUUGUUGGCGGGGUGACGGCCCACCAAGGCUGCGAUGCCUACCGGGCGUGCGAGCGUGGCCCGGCACACUGGGACUGAGACACUGCCCAGACUCCUACGGGAGGCUGCAGUCGAGAAUCUUCGGCAAUGGGCGCAAGCCUGACCGAGCGACGCCGCGUGGAGGACGAAGGCCUUCGGGUUGUAAACUCCUGUCGAGGGGGAGGAAGGCGCAAGCUUGACCGAUCCCUGGAGGAAGCACGGGCUAAGUUCGUGCCAGCAGCCGCGGUAAGACGAACCGUGCGAACGUUAUUCGGAAUCACUGGGCUUAAAGCGCGUGUAGGCGGAUGGGGACGUCGGUCGCUGAAAGCCCCCGGCUCAACCGGGGAAGUGGCGCCGAAACGCCCCGUCUGGAGGGACGUAGGGGGACCUGGAACUUCCGGUGGAGCGGUGAAAUGCGUUGAGAUCGGAAGGAACGCCCGUGGCGAAAGCGAGGUCCUGGACGUCUUCUGACGCUGAGACGCGAAAGCUAGGGGAGCGAACGGGAUUAGAUACCCCGGUAGUCCUAGCCGUAAACGAUGGGCACUGNGUAGGGGCUCGCCGAUGGGCUCCCUGCCGCAGCGAAAGCGUGAAGUGCCCCGCCUGGGAGUAUGGUCGCAAGGCUGAA
This 846-nucleotide ribosomal RNA is filed under the name uncultured bacterium. Its description in RNAcentral is "bacterial SSU rRNA". It matches the Rfam family "Bacterial small subunit ribosomal RNA", at positions 28 to 898 of the family's 1533-position model. The record is from RNAcentral.